RNAcentral lists this unclassified non-coding RNA (343 nucleotides) under soil metagenome. RNAcentral's name for it is "partial contains 5.8S ribosomal RNA, internal transcribed spacer 2, and large subunit ribosomal RNA". The stretch from base 1 to 118 matches the Rfam family "5.8S ribosomal RNA", at positions 35 to 154 of the family's 154-position model. The record is from RNAcentral.
GAUGAAGAACGUAGCGAAAUGCGAUACGUAAUGUGAAUUGCAGAAUUCAGUGAAUCAUCGAGUCUUUGAACGCACAUUGCGCCCCCUGGUAUUCCGGGGGGCAUGCCUCCGAGCGUCAUUGCUGCCCUCAAGCACGGCUUGUGUGUUGGGCCUCCGUCCUCCUCCCGGGGGACGGGCCCGAAAGGCAGCGGCGGCACCGCGUCCGGUCCUCGAGCGUAUGGGGCUUCGUCACCCGCUCUUGUAGGCCCGGCCGGCGCUUGCCGACACAUCAAUCUUUUUUCCAGGUUGACCUCGGAUCAGGUAGGGAUACCCGCUGAACUUAAGCAUAUCAAUAAGCGGAGGA